This 433-nucleotide ribosomal RNA is filed under the name uncultured bacterium. RNAcentral's name for it is "partial 16S ribosomal RNA". The stretch from base 45 to 433 matches the Rfam family "Bacterial small subunit ribosomal RNA", at positions 39 to 507 of the family's 1533-position model. The record is from RNAcentral.
GGGGGGGGGGGGGGGGGGGGGGGGGGGAGGGGAGGCGGGCGGGGGCGGCGGGUGGAGGGGGGCGCGGGGGCGGAGCGCGGGGGAACGGGCCGUUGGGUGCGGCAUACGUGCCGGGAAGGGGGGCUAAUCCCGGGUAGGGUCGGGGGACAAAAGAUUUGUCGCCUUUGGAUGGGCCCGCGUUGGAUUAGCUAGUUGGUAGGGUAAAAGCCUACCAAGGCGACGAUCCAUAGCUGGUCUGAGAGGAUGAUCAGCCACACUGGGACUGAGACACGGCCCAGACUCCUACGGGAGGCAGCAGUGGGGAAUAUUGGACAAUGGGCGAAAGCCUGAUCCAGCAAUGCCGCGUGAGUGAUGAAGGCCUUAGGGUUGUAAAGCUCUUUUACCCGGGAUGAUAAUGACAGUACCGGGAGAAUAAGCUCCGGCUAACUCCGUG